This 404-nucleotide ribosomal RNA is filed under the name uncultured bacterium. Its description in RNAcentral is "bacterial SSU rRNA". It matches the Rfam family "Bacterial small subunit ribosomal RNA", at positions 355 to 775 of the family's 1533-position model. The record is from RNAcentral.
UGAGGAAUCUUGCCCAAUGGGGGAAACCCUGAGGCAGCGACACCGCGCGCGGGAUGAAGGCCUUCGGGUCGUAAACCGCUUUUCUGGGGGACGAGUAAGGACGGUACUCCAGGAAUAAGUCCCGGCUAACUACGUGCCAGCAGCCGCGGUAAAACGUAGGGGGCGAGCGUUAUCCGGAAUCACUGGGCGUAAAGGGCGUCUAGGCGGCAGCCUAAGUCCCGUGUGAGAGCUCCCGGCUCAACUGGGAGAGGGCAUGGGAGACUGGGCAGCUAGAGGCUCGGAGGGGGGUGUGGAAUUCCCGGUGGAGUGGUGGAAUGCGUUGAGAUCGGGAGGAACACCAGUAGCGAAGGCGGCACCCUGGCCGAGAUCUGACGCUGAAGCGCGAGAGCGUGGGGAGCGAACGG